CAAUAGCGUAUAUUAAAGUUGUUGCGGUUAAAAAGCUCGUAGUUGGAUUUCUGCUGAGAACGACCGGUCCGCCCUUUGGGUGUGUAUCUGGCUCUUUCUUGGCAUCUUCUUGGUGAACGUUGCUGCACUUGACUGUGUGGAGCGCUACCCAGGACUUUUACUUUGAGGAAAUUAGAGUGUUUCAAGCAGGCAGACGCCUUGAAUACAUUAGCAUGGAAUAAUAAGAUAGGACCUCGGUUCUAUUUUGUUGGUUUCUAGAGCUGAGGUAAUGAUUAAUAGGGAUAGUUGGGGGCAUUCGUAUUUAACUGUCAGAGGUGAAGUUCUUGGAUUUGUUAAAGACGGACUACUGCGAAAGCAUUUGCCAAGGAUGUUUUCAUUGA
This 380-nucleotide ribosomal RNA is filed under the name uncultured eukaryote. Its description in RNAcentral is "partial 18S ribosomal RNA". It matches the Rfam family "Eukaryotic small subunit ribosomal RNA", at positions 592 to 976 of the family's 1831-position model. The record is from RNAcentral.